RNAcentral lists this ribosomal RNA (252 nucleotides) under uncultured bacterium. Its description in RNAcentral is "partial 16S ribosomal RNA". It matches the Rfam family "Bacterial small subunit ribosomal RNA", at positions 524 to 776 of the family's 1533-position model. The record is from RNAcentral.
UACGGAGGAUGCGAGCGUUAUCCGGAUUUAUUGGGUUUAAAGGGUGCGUAGGCGGACUGUCAAGUCAGCGGUAAAAUUGAGAGGCUCAACCUCUUCUCGCCGUUGAAACUGGUGGUCUUGAGUGGAUGAGAAGUACGCGGAAUGCGUGGUGUAGCGGUGAAAUGCAUAGAUAUCACGCAGAACUCCGAUUGCGAAGGCAGCGUACCGGCAUCCAACUGACGCUGAGGCACGAAAGCGUGGGGAUCAAACAGG